RNAcentral lists this ribosomal RNA (484 nucleotides) under uncultured bacterium. RNAcentral's name for it is "partial 16S ribosomal RNA". It matches the Rfam family "Bacterial small subunit ribosomal RNA", at positions 30 to 507 of the family's 1533-position model. The record is from RNAcentral.
AUUGAACGCUGGCGGCAGGCCUAACACAUACAAGUCGAGCGGAUGAAGGGAGCUUGCUCCUGGAUUCAGCGGCGGACGGGUGAGUAAUGCCUAGGAAUCUGCCUGGUAGUGGGGGAUAACGUCCGGAAACGGGCGCUAAUACCGCAUACGUCCUGAGGGAGAAAGUGGGGGAUCUCCGGACCUCACGCUAUCAGAUGAGCCUAGGUCGGAUUAGCUAGUUGGUGGGGUAAAGGCCUACCAAGGCGACGAUCCGUAACUGGUCUGAGAGGAUGAUCAGUCACACUGGAACUGAGACACGGUCCAGACUCCUACGGGAGGCAGCAGUGGGGAAUAUUGGACAAAGGGCGAAAGCCUGAUCCAGCCAUGCCGCGUGUGUGAAGAAGGUCUUCGGAUUGUAAAGCACUUUAAGUUGGGAGGAAGGGCAGUAAGUUAAUACCUUGCUGUUUUGACGUUACCAACAGAAUAAGCACCGGCUAACUUCGUG